AACCUAACAGAGACUUACAUCAAACUUUAAAAGGCAAACUGAAAAAAUAUUCUCAUUCAGAGAGAGCAUGGCCUGUGUGCCAACUACCACUGCUUUGAGAGAUCCUCUUUGCACAGAACUGAGGAAAACAAGCUAUUGCAAUGUUUGACCCCUUUAGUGUUACCUUCCUAUCAUGAGCAAAGGGCUGUUAUUUCACCUUUUCAGACUGCUCAGCAGAGAGACACAGCAUUGCUGCCACUGUCUUCCUAGCUGGUACAAAACUUCCACACAGACUUUUAUCAAAAGGAACCUCCAUCCGGUGGAGCAUAUAGAGAUUAAAAUAGCAUCCAUAUUCCAGGAUUCAUUCUGGACACAAAUGUCCACAGUGCUGGCCCCAAGAGGACAAGUGAAAAUGUUACACUGAGGUACUUCAGUUUUAGUCUGAACAGUCUGGAGGAGGUUUGCAGGAGAGUGAACGCCUGUGGACACUGAAGAUCCAAAGCAGAAUCAAAUACAAGAAACUCUUCCAUUAGGCCCAUUCUCACUUUCAAGAUGGUGCUUUAGAAGUAUCAAAGGAAGCAAGCAGAAAUACA
Long non-coding RNA from Passer domesticus (house sparrow), 572 nucleotides. RefSeq lists it as uncharacterized. NCBI's taxonomy places the organism in Eukaryota, Metazoa, Chordata, Aves, Passeriformes, Passeridae. The record is from RefSeq and is a predicted model, not a curated record. The transcript is spliced from 3 exons.